Molecule: ribosomal RNA, 496 nt
Filed under: uncultured bacterium
Lineage: Bacteria
Description: partial 16S ribosomal RNA
Rfam family: Bacterial small subunit ribosomal RNA
Source: RNAcentral
GACGAACGCUGGCGGCGUGCCUAAUACAUGCAAGUUGAGCGCUGAAGGUUGGUACUUGUACCGACUGGAUGAGCAGCGAACGGGUGAGUAACGCGUGGGGAAUCUGCCUUUGAGCGGGGGACAACAUUUGGAAACGAAUGCUAAUACCGCAUAAAAACUUUAAACACAAGUUUUAAGUUUGAAAGAUGCAAUUGCAUCACUCAAAGAUGAUCCCGCGUUGUAUUAGCUAGUUGGUGAGGUAAAGGCUCACCAAGGCGAUGAUACAUAGCCGACCUGAGAGGGUGAUCGGCCACAUUGGGACUGAGACACGGCCCAAACUCCUACGGGAGGCAGCAGUAGGGAAUCUUCGGCAAUGGACGAAAGUCUGACCGAGCAACGCCGCGUGAGUGAGGAAGGUUUUCGGAUCGUAAAACUCUGUUGGUAGAGAAGAACGUUGGUGAGAGUGGAAAGCUCAUCAAGUGACGGUAACGACCCAGAAAGGGACGGCUAACUACGU